UGGCCGCGGCCCCCCGCCCGGUGCUGCUGCUGCUGCUCUUCCUCACGAAGCUUCUUCAGCUUCUUAAGGUAGACCGGCCGGGUGCUCUCCGUCACGGGACCCGGAGACAAGCCGUAACGGCGGAGCUGAGAGAAAAGCUCCUCAUCCGAGAGCUGCUGGGGCGCCGAAGCCGCCGCCGUCGCCGCCGCCAUUUUCUCUCCAGGGUGUUUUACAAGCUCCGCGCUACCGGAAGUGACGCGCCGCCCUAGACCCUGAACUAGACCGGGCUGCGUCGCCCUUCCAGCGCCGCGGGCGCCUCGGCCAAUGGGAGGCGCGGGAGGAGCUCACCUGAGCGGGAAGGCGCCACCUGAGCGGCGCGGGCCGGCGUGACCGCGCUCGCUCCCUCGCUCGCCCGCACGGCGGGCCGCCGCCGUCCUGCCCGUCGCCGCCGGGUUCGCAGCCACACCUUGACCUCCCCCCGCCCCGGGGUCCUGCCACCGCGCUGCCGGCGUGGAAAGGAGCUCUGCCCUCAAGUUCAUGGCGACGCUUCCCUAGUUCGGGUCGGUGUAGAGACCCCGAGAGCGACCCUGGCUCGGCAAGUUUGCUGUCUGACUCUAGUAUGAUGACCUCAUAUGUCGUCAUGUGUCGUAUGUCAAAUGUCAUCAUUUGGAGAAAUGAAAGAGCCGUCUGAUGAUUCGUUUUGACCGAAGAAAGACAAGCUCACCAUGCAAAUACUCGUCUGAUCUAUCCAAACAAUACCCAAUAAAUGUUUAUUUAUUUUGAAAUA
Mastomys coucha (southern multimammate mouse) is the source of this 766-nucleotide long non-coding RNA. RefSeq lists it as uncharacterized. The record is from RefSeq and is a predicted model, not a curated record. Lineage: Eukaryota; Metazoa; Chordata; Mammalia; Rodentia; Muridae. The transcript has 2 exons.